RNAcentral lists this long non-coding RNA (42279 nucleotides) under Ananas comosus (pineapple). RNAcentral's name for it is "long non-coding RNA (ACOM_LNC030013)". Lineage: Eukaryota; Viridiplantae; Streptophyta; Magnoliopsida; Poales; Bromeliaceae. The record is from RNAcentral.
GUAAAUAAAUUAUAUCAAAAUGGACGGUGAAAAUUGAAUAAUCUUUAAAAUUUGAGUAUAGGACUUUUAAAUUUAAGAUCAAGAAUGUUAACCUUAAUCUAUAUAGUUUAAAGUAUUUCUAUCAAAAUUUGAAGAAAUUUAGAUUCUUCUACACCGUUAAACUCCAAAUCGUCAUAAUAGCCAUUGAAAAUUGACAAUUUUGAAUAGUUUGAUCAAUAGAGUAAACUAUGUCGAAAAAAAUAUAAAUUUUAUUUCUAGAAAACUUUAAAUAGCCUAGAUCAGUUUUAAACGGUGUGGGAUCGUUGAUUUGAACGCCCUAAGAUCGAAAACCAAACUAUAGUACGGAGCUCGACUAUAGAUAGUAACCAGCCUAGCUCUAUAUAAUAUAUAAUAUAUAUAUAUAUAUAUAUUAAUAUAUAUAUAGAGCUAGGCUGGUAUACUAUCGUAGCAUACUAAGUUGUUUUCAAUGAUGCGGCUUCCAAAUCGACAAUCGCUCCGUUAACUUGAUCUACAUAUUAAAAGUAUUGUGGAAACUAAAUUUUCAUAAUUUUCGGUAUCAUUACAUAUCAACGAAUAUCUAAAAUGAACGGCUGAAAAUAAAAAUCUCAUAAAAUAGAUGAUAGAAAACUUGAAUUUAAGAUCAGAUGUAUUGAUCUUAUCAGAAUAUUGAUCUUACUCUAAAUAGAAAAAAAAUUUUCUAUAAAAAUUUUCAUCUGAUUUAGAUUGUUUUACACCGUUAAAUUUAGAAUGCAUCACAUCUACCAAUUAAAAUUGUUCAAUUGAGAGAUCUAGUUUGAUUCACUAGCCAAGAUGAAUGUGAAACAUAUGAUAUUAAUUUCAAUACUUUAAUAGUGUAGAUCAAGUCUAACGGAGCCGAUCGUCGAUUCGAAAGUCCGAACAUCGAAAACAAAGUGGCCCUCCGUGCUUCCAUAAGCAUACCAGCCCACUCUAUAUAUAUAUAUAGUAGGAUUACUGUACUCUUAUUAUGAGUAUAGAGUUUUUCGUACCCAUAAGUUAUUUUCGAUGAUAGAUUUUCUGAAUGAACGAUCCAUACCGGUAAAUAUGAUCUAGAAAAUUUGAAACUUCUAAAAUCAAAUUUCAUAAUUUUUUAAAAUUAUAAUAAAGUCUAUCAAGAUUAUAUAAAAUGAACGGUCAAAAUCGAACGACCUCCUAAAAUUAGAGAAUUGAAUUCUUUAAUUUAAUAUCGGAGUUAUUGUUCUUUAUCUAGAUAGUGAAUAAAAUUUUCUAUAAAAAAUUCAACCUAUUUCGAGACUUUUACACUGUUAAACUAACAACUAUCCCAUAUCGGCUGUUAAAAGUUGUUAAUUUUGAGAUUUUUUUUUAUCGUAAGGUAAAUGAUGUUAAAAAAUUAUAAAAUUUAGUUUUUAGAAAUUUUAAAUGUUCUAGAUAAUAUUUAAUGAUAUGAAUCAUUGAUUAAAAAUUCUAUCAUCGAAAACAGCUUAUGAGUACGAAAGCGAUCAUACUCAUAAAAGCAUCAUAGCCAUACUCUUUGUAUACGCAUUAUGUUACUCUAAAGAUAAUUUAUAUUUUAUAGGAUGAUUUUAUAUAUCAUUCUAUAUACCAAAAUGUGAGAUUGUUGGCUCGAAGGGUCAGUACCAUACCACAUGGUGGUAGAUUAGAAUGAACCGAAUCACAUUUGAAAUAACAGAAGGUCAAAUUAGAUCGAAUCAUGUUCGAAGUGAUGAAUCACAGUCGAAAUAACGAGAGGUCGAAUUGGAUCGAAUCAUGUUCAAAGCGAUGAAUCACAGUCGAGACCCGUAGGCGUUAAGGUCGCAUUAUUGAGGUGAGAUGGAUCCAGAAAAAAAAGAUGGUUUCCAUGGUUGGGAAGGUCAUAGUAGCAAAAGCUAUUGGAAUUGAUAUUUUAAUCUGCAUACUUCAAAUAAAUUGAUUCUAUCUUUCAAACAAAUCGAGCUUUUAGAAUUAAUGAUUAGCACCAACGAUCCAACAAAAAUUCUCUCAAAUGUUGAAAAAAAUUAUAUUUAAAAAGUGAUUGUUUAAAAUUAUUUUCUUCGACUGCUGCAGUAAAAUUGUUCCAAUACUGAAGUUGAGCCUUCUGUUCUCAACUAAAGCAGUAGCUAGAUUUAAAUAUAUCAAAUGAAAUGCCAAACAAUGCAGGUACAACCACGUACUACCAAACAGCCCCUAAAAGGUAAAAAAUUAAGUCGUAACUGGAUCCGCGCAAUCGGUGAAACGUAAUAUUAUUCUUAUGAAAACAAAUAAUAUAUAUACUAGAGCUAGGCUGGUAUACUAUCGGUAGCACGGAGGCAUUCGUGCUACCAAGUUGUUUUUAAUGUUGCGGUUUUCAAAUCGACGAUCGGCUCCAUUAGACUUGAUCUACAUUAUUGAAAAUAUUUGAAAACUAAAUUUCAUAAUUUUUCGGUAUCAUUUACCUAUCAAACGAAUAGUCUAAAAUGAACGGCUGAAAAUAAAAAUCUCAUAAAAAAUAAUGAUAAAAGACUUGAAUUUAAGAUGAGAUGUGAUGAUUUUACUCUAAAUAGUGAAAAAAAAAUCUAUAAAAAUUUUACCAUAUUUGAAUUGUUUUACACUGUUAAACUCACAAACGCAUCACAUCUAUCAUUAAAAUUGUCAAUUUUGAGACAUUUUGAUCACUAGCCAAAUGAUGUCGAAAAAUUAUGAAAUUUAGUUUGCAAAUAUUUUUAAUAGUGUAGAUCAAGUCUAACGGAGCCGAUCGUCGAUUUGGAAGCCGCAUCAUUGAAAACAACUUGGUAGCACGGAGGCUUCCGUGCUACCGAUAGUAUACCAGCCUAGCUCAUGUAUACUAUACUAUUUAUUGCACUUUCUUGGAGCAUGUAAAUGUCGAGGAAAUGUCUAAGUUGCUAAGUUUAUGUUUAUCUUAUAAUCCUUCUCACAAGUUAUGAAAAACCAAGAGAUACCAAACCAAACAUAAAUGCCAUCAAGUAAGAAACAGAAGAGCUGCUAAAAAUUCAAGUAAUUAAACAUCUAAAACAUAAAUACAAAAACACUUGUGAUUGAUAAUUACCACAGUUGCAAUAUGCCAGAAACAUGAGACAACACUUAUUCCAGAGUUCAAAACCAGAAUAACACUGGCUUAUAUAUAUUUAAAAAUGUUUUAAAAAAGAGAGAGCCAAAGGGUUCAUUAUCUCAAGCAUGCAAAAAGGGGUCUUAAGAAGGAAAACAUAUUCACCUACUCAACAUAGUGAUGGUGUAGGUAGGCUAAGUAAGAUCAACCGACAAUCAGCUUGUUCUCAUCCACGAAGGUGUAGGUGGGUACCUCCAAGUUGUACGGCGCGGGGCCCUUCCGGAUCCUUCCGGAAAUGUCGUAGUGCGAGCCAUGGCAGGGGCAGAACCAGCCUCCAAAGUCGCCCGCGUUGGGGAGCGGGAUGCAGCCGAGGUGAGUGCACACGCCGACGACGAUGAGCCACUCGGGAUUCUUCACCCGCUCUGCGUCCGGCUGCGGGUCCCGAAGGGACUGCAGGUCGACGGUGUUCGCGAGCUUGAUGUCUUCCUCGGUGCGGCGGCGGAUGAAGACGGGCUUGCCCCGCCACUUGACGGUGACGGUGGCCCCAGGCUCGAUGUUGGAGAGGUCGACUUCGAGGGAGGCGAGGGCGAGCACAUCCUUGGUGGCGGACAUGCUCAGGACGAACUUGAGGAUGAGGAGGCGGAGGAGGGAGGCGUAGACGAAGCGGCCACCGGUGAGGACGAAGUAGGCAAAGGCGCGCUUGCUGGGAUCGCCGGGAGGGUACCGCUCGUGGUUGUGCUCGUCGUAAGUGAUUUUGGAACUAGGAUUCUUCACAGCUGCCACAGUUGCUGGGAGGUCGGCCAGGCCGAGGUCCCCCCCAUGCCUUGGGACAAGGGUUUCAGUGGCAAAGCCUGCAGCUAAUAGUCAGUAUUUACAACAGAGAACUAUCUCAAAAAGAUGGAGAACUAAAAUUGUUGCCCGAUGUCAUUUAAAAGAAUGAACUCUUCCUAUUCAGCGGAAUCAAUUAUGAUUUGAAGAGCUAAAUCAGGUUAAAAAGUAAACUACGAAAAGAUAAAACCAAGAUUAUAGGAUCUCAUCGCAAAACUUGACCAGCUAAAAAGUUUUUAAUAGAUGUGGUCAAGCAAAAUCUUAGAUAACCCUUUCACUUCCAUAUGUACAUCAACUUUCCUAACUAAAUGAGAACAAAUGCAUUUAAAAACUGCAAGCUGGCAAAAAUAAGCUCUAUCUUCGCAAUUAGGCUUCCAUGUUUGUUAAAAGUAGUUAGUUCUUCAUGGAUAAAUAUUGAGACAUCAGGUCAUUACCCAUCUUUUUGCUGAGUUGGAAAUAGCUAAUAAGAUUUCAUUGCCGUACAACAUGGGAAUUUUGAAUACAAUAGCUUUUUAUUAUAUGAGAGAUAAAGCUAUCAACAAUGAGAAAGUACAAAGAAAACAAUUUUCUAAGACGAAAAAUAGACCAUAAUAUAGUACAUGCCUCCAAGAGGAAAUCAUACAACUCCCAGAAUCAAACUUUCUCGAUGCGACAUGCUAAUCACCAUAAUCCAAAAAUAAGCAUGUUCUACCACAGCGUCCAUGACUGUCUAGAACAGAACAUUUCAUAUUUGUAAUGAAUAAAUCAUAUUUCUAAUAAACAUAAAACAAGUUGUUCAAACAAUAAAAGAGGAAACAGCUUCAAGCGAAACGUCGAGUUGGGAAGAAUCAGGCAUCCGGGCAUUUUGUCUUACACAUUGACACUUACACAUUGACAUAUAAUAAUUACUAUGACAAUGCCCUUGGUUAGUUUGCAUUGAUACAAAUUUUCAUGCUAUGCUCAAAAGCUGAGUAAGUCAUCAUAUACUAUCAUAUAUAUAUAUCUAAUUUUGGAAGCAUGGUUCCAAUUGAACCAUAAGAUGCCACGUGGCGCACUUACAUGAAAAGUUCUAAUGUACCACGUGGCGCACUUAUCAUAAUAUAUAUUUUUUAAACUUAUCAUAAUAUAUUUUUUAGUUCACAAAUAUUUUAUAUAUAUAUAUAUAUAUAUAUAUUAUCAUUAUCAUGCGCACUUAUCAUAAGCAUAACUACACGUACCAAAAAAUAACUGCACAGCAGUUUUUUUUUUCCUUAACCGUAUGACAGUUAUUUUUUUUUGUAAACUGCACAACAGUUAUUUUUUUUUUCUUAACCAAACAACAGUUAUUUUUUCCCUAAACCACACAACAGUUUUUUUUUUUUUUUAACCGCACAACAGUUAUUUUUUUUUCCCUUUUUUCUUUGAUUGUGAGGUAUAUUCAUCUUUCACAGUUAAUAUCUAAAACGUUACAAAUUUUAUCAUCCAUAUAUAUGUAUUACAAGUGAAUGCCAUUAUUUUAUUAAUAUUAUCAUCCAUAUGUAUGAUAGAUGGAGACAGACUUAUUUUCUAUCUUUAUGCACCAUCUUUCUACAAAAGGCAAGUUUAUUCAAAAUUUGAAAAUAAUUACGUGUAAUGAUUUGGUCUGUUUGUAAUGUAUAUAUUAUCUUCUCUUUUUUUUUUCAGGAUACAUAUCACUAUCUUUGGAUUUCGUCAUAGUAUUGAAAUUUUCAGAGCGCAUAAAUAUUUGCCCCUAUCCCAAGAAAUACUCAAUAAUUACUUUUGGGAGGUAUGUUUGAUAUUUAUAUUUAAGUUUUUGAUUGAUUUGUUGAAAAUAAUUGAUAAACAUACAUGACUAAUUAUUCACAAUAACAAGAACUUUUUAGUUUAAAGAAAUCAUAAUAUGAAUCAUGCUUCACAAGUUCUAAAAAAUUACUUUCCAAAUUUAGUCACUUAAAAUUCUUCAAAAAAUAAGUUUACAAAAUUAGUCAUAAAGAAUUUGAAAUAAGAUUAAUUAUAUAUAAAUAAUAAUUAUGUUAAAUUUCUAAUGGAUUUGAACCUUUUUACUUCUUCAUUUUAAAAUCUUUUUAUUUUAAAUUAUUUACUUACAUUCUAUUAGUAUAUCAUGAUAGUAUUAUUUUAAUUUGAUUCAAUAAUUUUUCUAAUAAUAAAAGCUUAAUAUGAAAAAAUUAAUAUAUAUUAUAUAAAAGUUGUCAUAAAAAGAUAUUAAAAAAACUUAAUAUGUAAAAAUUAAUAUUAUAUAUUAUAUAAAAGAUGUAAUUAAAAGAUAAAAUUAAAAUCCGUGCAUUGCACGGGUUAGUUGCUAGUUUAAACAAAAAGCAAAGCACAUGUACUUUGAACUAGAGCUACAGUAAGGGAAAUUAGAAAGAUGAGCAAUAUUCACUAAGUUGCAACAAUCCAGGAUAAUUAUGCAUUCUAUUUUAACAAAAAGCAAAACACAUUUCACUUUGAAGUAAAACUACAGCUAGGGGAAUUUGAAAACAAGUAAAAUUCACUAAUUUGCAAGAACAUAUAUAUGAAAUAAAGGUUAUGAGUGAUCAUCUACAAUGAUCGGUCAUAAAUGCAAUAAUGUCAACUCAAGCACUAGAAGCAUGUGCUCGGUUAGAUCUAUCUUAAUAGCAGCUGUAACAACUACAAAGGAAAAAGAUUUUGUGCAUCCAGCAUAACGUUGACAGUUGAGUCGAUUGAAUCAAAUGAUGAAACAUCAUAUGCCGUCCAUUUCAUAUUCUGCGGUUAUUCCGAAGUUAAGAUCCGGACCAAAUCCAUUUUAUUUGGAACGGCUCUAAUGAGUGUAACUCAACAUUUAGGGAGCUUCUCCACAACGUGAAACAAUCUUUGCAAGUAAUAAUGUAAAAUAUUGUUUAACCGAUGAAAAUCAGUUUAUGCCUGAUGUCACACCUGUCCUUUAUAUUUCCUUUUUUUUCUUUUACUGUUCUCAUAAGGAUCUAGAAUUUAAUUUAAAUAACGUGAAAUUGAAUCAAGAUGACAUUUUAUGCGUGAACUAAAUUCAUAUGAUAAAAACUUGAGCGUUAAUGGCUCACCCAGAGGGACUUAUGCGCGAAAGUUCAAGCUAAUCUGAUAAUCGGACUUAUGGGUGAGUGGAAAUCAACUUACAUAAAUCAAGCUGCAAGGUAUUGAAUCCACAGGGGCUUCAUAUGAAAACAUGGAAAAUGUUGGGAAAAUUAGAAAACAAACCCAACCAUAUGAAGGAGCGGGUUUGCGCUUAUGUCCAAUUAGGGUAAAUUUAGGAUUUUGGAUUUCUCUCUAUUCAAUUAGAUUAUGCUUUGGUAGGGAUUAACACAGUAAAUGAGAUGAAGGAAAAUGAAAGAUGUAAGUGACACAGCACAUAUGCCAUCAACUACAACAACAAACCAUUUCUGAACGAAGAUGAACAAAAGCAUGGGCAAAUUUACCAAUACUAUGCGUGAGCACAUAUUUACCAUUUCUCAGCAACGGAUUAGAGAUUCUUAUUCAAAUUACUGGAACAAAGUGGCAUAUUACGCGGUUCGUGAACUACAUGCAUAAAUUAAUCAUAAAGAGAAGCAUAAAAAAGCAUCAAUAGCUACAAUCAGAACAAAAGCACAACGAAUUGGGCAUAAAUUAAUCAAAUUUGAUGCACAAAAGCAGCGAAUCAACCAAUCCCUAGAAAAUCCCGAUACGAGCAGGAUCCAAAUCGAAAGAAAGAGAUGAAAAGAUGAAGCCCUAACCUCUCGGAGCACCAAGCAGCCCGGAUCGGAAGGCGAUGAGGGGAUUCGAGAGGUCGCGCGAGCUCGAAUCGUCCACGGAGAAAGGGGGCGGGUCGGAAGCGUUGAUGGGGUUGCGGGAGACGAGGACGGAGGAGGCGGUGCUCGGGCGCCAUGCGAGGGCGGAGGCGAGCCUUCUCCCUGCGACCCUCAACAUCGUCGUCCACCUCUUCUUCCCCCUCUUCCUCUUCUUCUUCUUCUUCUUCUUCGAGGAGAGCAAUGGCGAGGGGGGAUCCGAUUUCUAGGGUUUCGAUCGAGAUCGAGGUGGGGAGAGAGAGAGAGAGGAGAGAGAGAGCGAGGGGGUAAUGCGACGGAAAAUGGGGCACAAAAUUGGUGGGGACAUCCCGCAACGAGGGAGAUAUCCCAUCACCCGUCGAUCACUCGGCGGGCGCGAAUUUUAAAGCUUGAUGAACGGCCGAUGGAGUGGUCUCACGCUGAGGCAAAUCCCCACCAAAUAUUUUGGGGAAAAGGCGGUGGGGUGGAGUUGUUAAUGGGCCGAUCCACGUCACAAUUGGGCUUAUAUUUAAGAUGUAGGAGACAUUCAAACAAACAGGCCCAAUAAGAUUUUCUUUUUUUUUUUUUAAUAUAUAUUUGAAACAUUGUGAACUGGAAAAAAAAAAAAGAAAAAAGAAAAAAAAAAUUUAGGCUAUGUUUGGAAUUGCAAGAAGAAUACAUUGUGUAUCGUGAAAAAGUGCAAUGUAAAAAUAUUUCGUUUGCUUCUGUUAAAGAUAUCACAUUGUGUAAAUCUCGUUGAUUUAAUUACGUUAUAAUUUUUACAAUCUCAGCGAACAAACGGAGGAGCAUAUCUCUCUACAUAAUCUUAAAAAACUAAUUACUUUUUCAGUCCAAAUUCUACACUCGUCUACUUCCACCCGCUGAAAAUGAGCAAUUAUGCAAAGCCAAGAUGGGCCGAGUCGGGCCUCGGAUGAUGCACAUCUAGUUGUUGAUUUCUCAGGCUUUGGACUCACUCGGGCCGGAUUGAGGCCGAAUUCGACCCGACUCUACUAACACCUAGAAACUUCUUUCUCUCUCUUACUGUAUAAUAAAAUUGUUAUCUUUCUCCACAAGCUCAGAUGUGUGUUAACACAUUAGAUAGAUCUCAGACGCGGACUUGAAUUUCAAUGAAAGAAAAAGAAAAACACUAAAUAAGGCAAGUAAUUGUGAAAGCUUUUUCCUAUAGCAGAUUCAGACGUUUCGAGAGAUGAGUUCGUAGCUUCUGCUGUUUCAUUCUAAUAAUACUAUUUUUGUUGGCUUAAAUAGACCAAUAUUCUGCCAUGUGGCAGGAGGUCAUAUUGGGCUGAAUCAUGUUUGAAAUGGUGUGAGGCUAGGUGGGCCUAGUCAUGUUCGAAGUGGCGCGAGGCUGAUUGGGCCGAGUCACAAUCAAGACCCAUGAGCACUGUUUCUGUACACUUUAAGUGAAUUGGUUGCGUAUUUCUAACAACUCGAGCUUUUGGAAUUAAUGGUUAGCGCCAAUGAUACACAAGUGAUAUCAAAACAAGAGGUCAUGGGUUCGAUUUCCGCAUGCUACGAAUGUGUCCAGAUGCUAGAGGGGAGAUUGUGCAUACUACCAUAUGGCGGGAGGUCAUGUUGGGCCGAUUGGGUCGAAACCCAUGGGCGCUGUAUCUAUACGCUUUAAGUGAAGUAGUUUCGUAUUUCUAACAGCUUGAAUUUUUGAGAUUAAUGAUUAGCGUCAACGAUCGGACAGUUAUGACUUAUGAUUUCAUACUAUGAUUGAAAAUUAAAAUUUUUUAUCUCUCAAAAAAGAAAAAUUAAAAUUUUUUAUUUAUCAAAUGCUCGCACGAUUUAUUUAAUGAAUCAAAUGGAAUCAUUUGUCACUUAUGCAACUUUCGAAAAUGUGGAGCAUGAGAUAAUGGGAGUGGUACACUGCUAUAUCACUGUAUAGAUGAGGAAGCACUAUCCACAUUUGUGAUCACAUUUUUGUUGUGGUGUGAAGUACCAAAUAUAUAAUUGGAAUUCUCUCUCCUCUCUCUCUCAAAAUAAAAAUAAAAAAUAAAAAAUAAAAAAUAAAAAAAUAAAAAAUAAAAAAGUGAUAGGUUCAAAGGAUUUGAACACUUUUUCAUACUUUUUCAGUUGAGUCGACGGUGCCUAACACUGACACAUUCUCAUAUGCCAUGCUUCUCUCUUCAUGUGUGUACUAUAAUAAUAAUAAAAUAAUAAUAAUAUAAUAAUAAUAAUAAUAAUAAUAAUAAUAAUAAUAAAAGGAUUAAUGGGUAGUCAUUAUUCAAUAAAUUUUUACUAGAGUUUGUGGAAUGAUUUAUUUGGACUUUUUUGUCGAGCAAAUUUACUAAUUAAACAGCUGUACGUACCGGUGACAAAUCUUAGAAACUAACUUUUUUUUGUUUUUAUGAAUAAAAAUAAAGUAUAAGAAUUGAAGAAUACAAAGUAUAUAGGAAAAACUUCAAAAACCACCCCUGUAAUUUUAUACUUUUUUAUUUUAGUACUUAUAAUUUAAAGUGUAUCAAGUUAGUACCAUGUGGUUUCCACUUUACACUUCAGUACCCUGUGAUUUAAAGUGUAUCAAAUUAGUAUCAUGUGGUUUUAUUUUUGUAUCAAGUUAGUACCCUGUGAUUUUUAAACCAUAGGGUACUAAAGUGAUAAAGUGUGAAACCACAGGGUACUAACUUGAUACACUUUAAACCACAGGGCACUAAAAUGAAAAAGUGCAAAACCACAGAAUACUAACUUGAUACACUUUAAAUCAUAUGGUACUGAAGUGAGAAAAAGUUAAACCACAAGGGGGAAUUUGAAGUUUUCCCAAAAAUAUAUGUGAGAAGAUAUAUUUAAUGUGCUUUUAGGCCUCUUUUGUCGAGCAAAUUUACUAAUUAACAGCUGUACAUGCUGGUGACAUAUCUUACAAAUUUAUUUUUUUUUGUUUUUAUGAAUAAAAAUAAAGUAUAAAAAUUGAAGAAUACAAAGAAUACAAAGAAUAUACUUGAAAAGAUAUAUUUAAUGUGCUCUUAGGCUCCAUGAUAUUUUCAUUAGUAAGUUCGCUUGCAGUGAAAGCUGAGUUAAUGAACUAUUUGAUAAUAUUUAAGAGAUCUAAUUGUCAAAAUUAAAAGUUUAUAAAUUUAUUUAUAGAAUCUCCAGAGUUCAGAAAAUAUCCUCACAUUUUUCUUAAAUAAGAAUAAUAAAAACAACAGUUAAAAACAUGGACAAAGGGGGAAAAAAAAAAAAGGACAAAUUCAACCCCUAAUCCAAUUAACAUUUUGAAAAUUCAAACAGGAGCAAUCCACUUUGUUUUUAUCUUUAGUAAGAUGCUCUGAUUCAUGUGACAGUACUGAUUGGUUGGCACGUCGAUACAACAAUAUUUUGCAGGCCUGUUUGGCUUGACUUCUGUAGUUGAUACGAAUCAUAGAAGAUAGGCCAAAGGAAAAUGUUUGGCUCGACAGUCGACAUAGAGCAUUGCUGUGCAGUGGGCUAGCCUGUUACACAGUAGGGCCAAAUUAACAGUUCUUAUUUGCUAGAUCUAUAUAUUUAGAGAGAGAGAGAGAGAGAGAGAUAGGCUCUUGUGCUUUCGAAAGUAUGAAAGGCCUCUGUAUUUAUAAGUCAUUUUUUAUGAUAGGACAUUCGGUUCGGCGAUCGAUUUCGUUAGACAUUCGGUUAGGCUAUUGGAACUAUCCAGAAACCAAAUUUCAUAGUUUUUACUUCAUUUAUCUAGUGAACGAUCAAAUAGUUUCAAAAUGAACAGCUGAAAAUAAAAAUCUCAUAAAAAAUAGUAAUAAAAGACUCAAAUUUCAAAUUAGAAGUAUUGAUCUUACUAAUUGAUGUUAAUUAAAUAGAAUUUUUUAUUAAAGUUUCAUGUAAUUUAAUUUUUUCUACACCGUUGAACUGAAAAACAUGCUAUAUCGACCGUUAAAAUAGUCAUUUUUGACACCUUUUAAUCACUUAAUAAAUGAUGUCGAAAAAUUAUGAAAUUUGAUUUUUAAAUAGUUUCAAUAACGUAGAUUAUGUUUAACGAACCCGAUUAUCGAAUCAGAUGCCCUAUUAUCGAAAAUAACUUAUAAGUACGGAGACCUUCAUAUUUAUAUAUAUAUUACGAGCUAUUUUACUCAAGCUUUUGAGUUUGGAAUCUUCAGAAAGAUGGAGAUGGGGUAGGCCCCAUGCAAACUUGAAUUUCACAUCAGAUAAAAACAUGCAUGCAUUAUAUAUAUUGCUUUUGUUUUUUUAGGAGAUUAUAUAUAUUGCAUACUUAGGACUGAGAAAAUGAAACUAAGGCAAAAGUUCAUGAAAAUAACACAAACUUUGGAUCAUUCGAUAACCAUCAUUCAACUUUUAAAAAUUCUGAUUCUGUUACCUAACUUUUUAACUCUUAUUAGGUUUCAGCAUCGUGCGAAAUUAUUGUUCGCACUAUUUCAUUCUCAAUAAGUAGAAAAAAAUGAUAGUAGAUAAUGUUGCUUCAAAUUGGAUAAAAUUUUCUAAUUUAAUUAAAUAAGAUCACUCACUUGCAAAACAUACACUGUUAAGUGGAUGUGAAACACUAUUUUUGGUACAAAUUGAUCAGCCUCUGAUAAGGACUAGCUAGUACAAUAAUCAAUUCCCACCUCUUUAUAUGUAGCCACCAAUUAUUUUACCACAGUAAUUAAUAAAUAUAUUUAAUUCCAAAGUUAAAUAUAGAUUAAAUCUUAAUUAAUUAAUUAAUUAAUUAAUAUAUAUAUAAGGAAUUUGCCAUAUUAUAACAGUGAUAUAUAUAUAUAUAUAUAUAUAUAUAUAUAUAUAUAUAUAUAUAUUUUAUCAAACAAUAUCAUAUCCUACGGAUAAGAGGGUCAAUAAGCCUUAUAUAUGUAGAGUUUUGUUCAAACAAAAACUCUAAUUUAAUAACUAUUUAUUAUUAUUUAUUUAUUUCCAAAACAAAUAACUUAAAUGCCGUGUCAUAGACCACGUACGAGUUAGUAUGUAGGAUGUGUAAACGUGUCAUGUGACAAGAGGGACAAAUAUAUAUAUAUAUAUAUAUAUAUAUAGAGAGAGAGAGAGAGAGAGUUGGAUUGAGCUACUAUUAGUAGCAAAAUCUCAAUAUUACUACCAGUUUUUUAGCCUUUGGAUCAACUCUUUUCGUUAUUUCUAACCAUUGGAUUAAAUACUAUAACCCAGUGGGGACCACUCAACCCUAGGGGAACCACUCAACUCUAACCGACUAAUAUCAUCCCGACCUUACAAUUUUUCAUCUAAGGGUUAAAAACUUGAUAGCAAAAAGAACGUUUUACAUUAAUAGUUCCAGCUAAUUAUCUAUUAUAAUAUAUAUAUAUUUAUAUAAUAUAAUAUUAUAUAUAUAUAUAUAUAUAAUAAAUAAUAUAUAGGGUAGGCUGUAUACUAUCAGUAGCACGGAGGCUUCCGUGCUACCAAGUUGUUUUCAAUGAUACGGCUUCCAAAUCGACGAUCGGCUCUGUUAGACUUGAUCUAUACUAUUACAAGUAUUUGGAAACUAAAUUUUAUAAUUUUUCGAAAUCAUUUGGUUAGUGAUCAAAAUGUUUCAAAAUUGAUAAUUUUAAUGGUAGAUGUGAUGCGCUUGUGAAUUUAACGGUGUAAACAAUCCAAAAAUGAUAAAAUUUUUAUAGAGAUUUUUUUUUACUAUUUAGUAUAAGAUCAGUACCUUGGAUCUUAAAUUAAAGUCUUUUAUCAUUAUUUUUUAUGAAAUUUUUAUUUUCAGCCAUUUAUUUUUAGACUACUCGUUUGAUAGAUUAAUGAUGCCGAAAAAUUAUAAAUUUAGCUUCCAAAUACUUUCAAUAGUGUAGAUUAAGUCUAACGGAGCCGAUCGUCGAUUUAGAAGCCGCAUCAUUGAAAACAACUUGGUAGCAUGGAAGCCUCCGUGCUACUGAUAGUAUAUCAGCCUAGCUCGCUCUCUCUCUCUCUCUCUCUCUCUCUCUAUAUAUAUAUAUAUAUAAUGAGAAGAAGCUUUGGAUAUAUAUUAGGGGAUGCUGCGAAUAAUUGCACGAAGAUUAAAGCAAGCGAACCUCCGAGAAGUUUGAUAGAGCUUCUAACUUUUAACGGAAAAAAAAAAAAAAAGCAGCCAAGAGAUAUUGCUGAUUAUUAUAAUCGCUUGCAAAAUUAUUCCGCGCACCCGGUGCAUCUGUACAUCUGUGCACCGUCCCUGCUAUCCUAAUCUCAUCAUAUUUGAUAGAUCAGGUUUGGAGGCUUUUGAUCGAAUUGCGUUACGCACAGUGAUAAAAUACAAUAAAAAAAGGGUAAGCUUUAAAUACCCCCUCGUGGUUUCACACUAUCUCACUUUAGUACCAUGUAGUUUAAAGUGUAUCAAUUUAAUACCCUGUGGUUUCGCACUUUUUCAUUUUAGUAUUCUGUGGUUUAAAGUGUAUCAAGUUAGUAUCAUGUGGUUUUAUUUUUCUCUUUUUAUUAUCCAUUUCACUAAUUUUUUUUAUUAAACUUAAUGAGUACUAAAAUGAAUAUUCAAUAAACCUAGAUAGGGUAUCUGAAGUUUUUUGUAUAUAAUUAGCGAAAUAUUAACGGAGAAAAUAAAACUCAGUGACAAAAUUAAAAACUAAAGGGUACUAAAGUGAAUAUUCAAUAAACUUACAUGGGGUAUCUAAAGUUUUUUUGAUAUAAUUUAACGAAACAUUAACAGAGGAGCCGACGAAAAGAGAAAUACAAAAUUAUAAGAUUUUAGGUUUAAGAUUCUAUGUAUUCUUGCUUUUAUUUCGCUUUGCAUAUUACGAAAUAAUUUAUCAGAUCUUCCUAUAUAUGCAAAUGAGUUCUGUUGGUGUAAAUUUGUUUUCGAUAAUACAGUCUCUGAAUCUCUGAAUCGACAAUCGAUACUAUUAAAUAUGAUUUUUGACCACAUAAAAUAUUUAGAAAUUAAAUUUCAUAUUAUUCUUUUUUUUAUACAUCAACUUGACACAAAAAUGAGAGACUAAAAAUAAAUAUUCUUCAAAAAGUAAUUAUAAAAUUUGUGUAAUCAAAAUAAAGAGUUUAAAUUUUAUUUUAAAUAGUUUUAAAAAUAUUAACAAAAACUCAACUGAUUUGAAUUUUUUUAUAACGUUAAACCAAAAAUAUCUUAUACCAACUAUUAAAAUUACAAAUUUUACAAGUUUUUGAUCCUUAGAUCAAUAAUAUUAAAAAAUAUUAAAAAUUNGCGGGAGCAGGAUGGAGUGGGGGGCUUCUGAGUUUUGUGAAGAGUGCGAAGGGAGGAGGAGGAGGAGGAGGAGGAAACAGAUGGUGGAAAGCGUGCACAGGGAGUAUUAAAAGCAGAUGCAAUUGUCAUAUGGGAAGACAAAAGAAAGAAAACAAUAAAGAAUGGGCAUUCUACUGUAUGUGUGUGUGUAUGUUCCUGUAUGCAAGAAUGCAGUGAAGCUACAUAAAAUAAUGAAGUCUAAAUGUGACUUUUAUAUUAAUUGUGCAGAAACCCUACGUGAAUAAAACUCUAUAUAAAUAUUGGGCUAAGAGCUAUCACUUAAUGUGAUUGGUGAAUAUAUAUAUAUAAAUGAGAUCUGAAAUGUAAGUUGUUGCCAUUAUUUUAUAUUUUAUUUCGUACAGAUCGAUAAUAUUUUAUGAGACAAAAAUACACACACACAUAUAUAUAUAUAUAUAUAUAUAUAUAUAUAUAUAUAUAUAUAUAUAUAUAUAUAUAUAUAUAUAUAUAUUAGGCCUUGUGUGCUAUUAGGAGCACGGAUGCCUCCGUGCUUCUAAGCCAUUUUCGAUAAUGGAGUUCUCGAAUCGACGAUCGGCUUCGUUAGACUUGAUCUAGCAUAUUUGAAAUAUCUAGAAAAUAAAUUUUGAGAUUUUUCGAUAUCAUUUACCUAGUGAUCGAAAAAGUUCAAAAUCAACAAUUUUUAAUGGUUGAUGUAUACCGUUUACAAGUUUAACGGUAUAGAAGUAUUCAAAUAAGAUAAAAUUUUGAUAGAAAAUUCUUUAUAUUAUUUACAAGAAGUUCAAUAUCUUUGAUCGAAAAUUUUAAUGUUUUAUGACCAUUUUUUUGAGAUAUUUAUUUUUAGCCGUUGAUUUUGAACCCUUUCGAUCGUUAGGUAAAUGAUAUCGAAAAGUCGGAAAAUUUAUUUUUUAAAUACUUCAAAUAUGCUAGAUCAAGUCUAACGGAGUCGAUCAUCGAUUCGGAAGCUACAUUAUCGAAAACGGCUUAGGAGCACGAAGACCUCCGUACUCCUAAUAGCACACGAGACCUACUCUCUCUCUCUCUCUCUCUCUCUCUCUCUCUCUCUCUCUCUCUCUCUCUAUAUAUAUAUAUAUAUAUAUAUAGGGAGAAGAGAGAGAGAGAGUUGUGCUAGAAUACUAUCGGUAGUAAACGAGCCGUUUUACUACCGAUUUGUUUUCGAUGAUAGAACUUCCAAAUUGACGAUCAGCUCAGUUGAACAUGAUCUAUACCACUUGAAGUAUUUAGAAAUCAAAUUUCAAAUCUUUUCGACAUCAUUUGCCUAAUGAUCAAAGGGUUUCAAAAUUUGUAAUUUUAAUGGUCGAUAAGAAGCGUUUUCUCGUUUAACGGCAUAAAGAUAUCCAAAUCAAUUGAAUUUUUGUUAGAAAAUUCUUUAAACUAUUUAAAACAAGAUCUAUACUCUUGAUCUUGAUUACAAGACUCCUAUCAUCAUUUUUUAAAGAGUAUUCAUUUUCAGNNNNNNNNNNNNNNNNNNNNNNNNNNNNNNNNNNNNNNNNNNNNNNNNNNNNNNNNNNNNNNNNNNNNNNNNNNNNNNNNNNNNNNNNNNNNNNNNNNNNNNNNNNNNNNNNNNNNNNNNNNNNNNNNNNNNNNNNNNNNNNNNNNNNNNNNNNNNNNNNNNNNNNNNNNNNNNNNNNNNNNNNNNNNNNNNNNNNNNNNNNNNNNNNNNNNNNNNNNNNNCCUCACCUAAAAGAUAUCAGCCAAGACCACACCAAGAAAAUCCUCGCAAAAGAGAACUGAAAAAUAAUAAAAAGAUACAAAUGGAAAAGAAAUAAAAUGGUAACAAGGAAAACAAAUCAGAUCAAAACCAGAUAUUAAGAAAACUAAGAUUUGCAAAAUCUCUCUCUCUCUCGUCUCUCUCUCUUGCGUCUCUCUCUCUCGGGUCUCUCCCAUCUCACUCCUCCUCUCUCGUCUAUAUAUAUAUAUAUAUAUAUAUAUAAGGGAGAAGAGAGAGAGAGAGUUGUGCUAGAAUACUAUCGGUAGUAACGAGCCGUUUUACUACCGAUUUGUUUCGAUGAUAGAACUUCCAAAUUGACGAUCGGCUCAGUUGAACAUGAUCUAUAACUUGAAGUAUUUAGAAAUCAAUUUCAAAUCUUUUCGACAUCAUUUGCCUAAUGAUCAAGGGUUUCAAAAUUUGUAAUUUUAAUGGUCGAUAAGAAGCGUUUUCCUGUUUAACGGCAUAAAGAUAUCCAAAUCAAUUGAAAUUUUGUUAGAAAAUUCUUUAAACUAUUUAAAACAAGAUCUAUACUCUUGAUCUUGAAUUACAAGACCCUAUCAUCUUUUUUAAAGAGUAUUCAUUUCAGUUAUUCAUUUUUCUGUUCACUUGAUGGAUAAAAGAAUAAUAUCGAAAGUGCGUGAAUUUGAUUUCUAGGUAGUUUUAAAUGGUUUAGAUCAUAUUUAAUGAGCGAUCUUCAUUUGGAAGCUCUAUCAUCGAAAUAUAAUUGCUAGUAAAACGCCGUUUACUAUCGAUAGUAUUCUAGCAUAACUCUAUAUAUAGAGUGAGGCUACUAUGCUUCUGGAAGCACGGAGCUUCCGUGCUUCCAGGUCGUUUUUCGAUGUUGCGACUUUCGAAUCGUCGAUUGACUCCGUUAAACUUGAUCUCGAGUAUUUGAAGUACUUAGAAAAUAAAUUUUAUAAUUUUUGAUACCAUUUGUCUAGUGAUCGAAGGGGCUCAAAAUCAAUAAUUUUAAAGACCGUGGUGAGCCGUUUGCAAGUUUGACGGUGUAGAAAUAUUCAAAUCACGUGAAAUUUUAAUAGAAAAUUUUUAUACUAAUAAUAAACAAGAUUAAUAUUUUGAUCUAAAAUUUUAAUGUUAUAUUAUCACGUUUUGUAAGAUUUUAUUUUCAGCCGUUGAUUUUGGGCCCCUCAGUUCACUAGGCAAAUGAUAUCGAAAAAUUACAAAAUAUAUUUUCUAGGUACUUCGAAUAUUCUAGAUCAACUUUAAUGGAGUCGGUUGAUGAUUCGAAAGUCGCAACAUCGAAAAUGACCUGGAAGCACGGAGCCUGGAAGCAUGGAAGGCUCCGUGUUUCCAGAAGUAUAGUAACCUCAUCUAUAUAGAAGCAUAGUAGCCGGACUCUAUAUAUAUAUAUAUAUAUAUAUUAUAAUAUAUAUAUAUUAUAUAUAUAGUCCGGCUACUAUCCUAUUAAUAGGAUUGGAGCCAAUUGUCCUAUCAAGUCGUUUGAUUGAUCGGAACUUUAAAUUGAUAAUCGCACACCAUCGAAAUUGUUCUACAAAAUUAGAAAUGUUUAGAAACUAAAUUUUGUAAUAUUUAAAAAUCAUGAUCAAAUUCAUCUUAAGAGUUAAAAAAUGAAUGUCAUAAUUGAAUAACCUUCUCAAAUAGAGUUAGACUUUCUCAAUUCAUAAUCAGAGUUAUCAAACAUAUCUAAAUAGUAUAAAGAAUUUUUAAAAAAAUUCAAGCAAUUUGGAUUGCUCUACACCGUUAAACAAGCAAACGGCUCAUAUAGGCCGUCAAAAAUUGUCGAUUUUACGACACUUUGAUCACCAUGUAAAUAAUUUUUAAAAUUUAUGAAAUUUAGUUUGCUCCUAUCCUAUUAAUAGGAUAGUAGCUCUAGUAUAUUAUAGUUGGACUGGCUACUAUUAGUAGCAAAAUUCCAUUGUUGCUACCAGUUUUUUGGCCUUUGGAUCAACUCUUUUCAUUAUUUCUAACCAUUGGAUUAAAUACUAUAACCCAGUAGGGACAUCAACCCUAGGGGGAUCACUGAACUCUAACCGACUAAUAUCAUCCUGAUCCUACAAUUUUUCAUCCAAGGUUAAAAACUUGGUAGCAAAAAGAGCAUUUAUUAUUAAUAGUAUUCCAACCUAAUUCUAUAUAUAUAUAUAUAUAUAAAAUUUAAAUUUAUGGUCAAAUUAAGGUGGGAACUAAAACUCUCUCUCUAAAAAUAAUAAUAAAAUAAAAGAAAAAAAAAAGGAGGAAUUAAAGAAAGAAAGAACACAACGGCACAAUAGCGUUUUUGGGGUUUCGUGUGAUUGUGACAAACUCCAACUCCAACUCCAACUCCAACUCCAAAGUAGGACAAAUUAAGAUUUUAUUUUUUUAUUUUUUUUCUUGUUCUAUAUAUAUAUAUUAUAUAAUAUAUAUAUAUAAAUAUAAUGUUACUAUCCUAUUAAUAGGAUAGGAGCAUUUGUCUAUCAAGUUGUUCUUGAUGAUCGAGAUUCUGAAUCGAUGAUCGGAGCCGUUGAAGUUGAUCGAGUAUUUGAAAUAUCUAGAAACUAAAUUUCAUAAAUUUUGAUAAUGGUUUACAUGGUAAUCAAAGUGUCGUAAAAUCGAUAAUUUUUGAUGGCCUAUAUGAGCCGUUUGCUUGUUUAACGUAUGUAGAGCAAUCCAAAUUGCUUGAAUUUUUGAUAGAAAAUUCUUUAUACUAUUUAGAUAAUGUUUGAUAACUCUGAUUACGAACUAAGAAAGUCUAACCUCUAUUUUAAAAAGGUUAUUCAUUUAUGAUCGUUCAUUUUUCAACGCUUAAGAUGAACUUGAUAAUGAUUUUUAAAUAUUAUAAAAUUUGGUUUCUAAAUAUUUCUAAUUGUGUAGAUCAACUUCAACGGUGCCGAUUUUCAAUUUGAAGUUUCGAUCAUUCAAAUCGACUUGAUAGGACAAGGGUCCCAAUCCUAUUAAUAGAAUAAUAGCCGGACCCUAUAUAUCUAUAUAUAUAUAUAUAUAUAUAGUUUUGCUAGAAUACUAUCGGUAAUAAACUAGCCGUUUUACUACCGAUUUGUUUUCGAUGAUAGAGCUUCCAAAUUGACGAUCGGCUCCGUUGAACAUGAUCUAUACCAUUUGAAGUGUUUAGAAAUCAAAUUUCGAAUUUUUUCGACAUCAUUUGCCUAAUGAUCAAAGGGUUUCAAAAUUUGUAAUUUUAAUGGUCGAUAAGAGGUGUUUUCUCGUUUAAGCCGUAAAGAUAUCCAAAUCAAUUGAAUUUUAGUUAGAAAAUUCUUUAAACUAUUUAAAACAAGAUCUAUACUCUUGAUCUUGAUUACAAGACUCCUAUCAUCAUUUUUUAAAGAGUAUUCAUUUUCAGCCAUUCAUUUUUCUGUUCACUUGAUGGAUAAAAGAAUAAUAUUAAAAGUGCGUGAAAUUUAAUUUCUAGGUAGUUUAAAUGGUUUAGAUCAUAUUUAACGGAGCNUAAUAUGUUAAUAAUUUUUAUUAAAGCUUUAUAAAAUAAAAUCAAAAAUAGUACAGCUAAAAGAUCGUAGCAUAAUCAUCGUAAACGCCAAAAGAAAUCUCCAGGAGAUACACCUGCACCAAUUAAUUGCAUGCAACCUAAUUUUAUUAAAGUAAUAUUAUUUUGAGUCAUAUAAAUUUAUUUUAAAUUUUAUUUUUAUUUUUCAGUUCUUGGUAAAUUAAAUUUGCGUGUAGUUUUAAUGUUCUAAAAUACGAUGGCAAAAUUAAUUACAAAAAAAUGAGAAUAAAAAAUAAUAAAAAUAUAAACUGUAGUAAUACUUUUCUCUUCUUUAUGUAUUAGUGCGAAACAUUGUGAAAUAAAGUGUAUAAAACUUAUUUCAACUUUUUUUUUUUUUGAUCUACCUCUCUGACCGUUAAAAUUUUUAAUUAUACUAUCUAAUUUUUUAGUUUAUUUAAUUUGAGCGUAUCAAUGAUUUUUUAAUUUCAAAAUUUAAAUACGUCGUUUAUCUUUACGAAUUUAGUUAAUAUAUUAUAUAUAAUUAUAAGUUCGUUAAAGUACACAAUUAACUCAAAUUUUGUAUAUGAAGUAUCAUCAAAUUAUUUAAAUCAAAUAAAUAAAAAAAAUUGGGUACUAAAAUUAAAAUUUGAAAGAUUGAAUAAUCGAGUCAAAGUGGUCUAUAAUUCUGGUAAGUUUUUUAACAUUUUUAAUCUAAAAUUAAAAAAAGGGUAGGAUAAGUAUAGUUCCAAAACCAGUAAUUUUAUAUCAAACAAAAAAUACAAAAAAUUAUUUUCAUCUUUUUAUAUGACUGUUUUAAUAUUUCUCGAAGUUUUAAUCAAAUUAUUAAGUGAACAUUCCCUCUCAAAAUAAUCCACACGACAACCAACGAUUUAGAGGCAAAUUCAUUAAAGCUUAAGAUAAAUUCUAAUUUGAACUUAAAUUAAAAAUUAAAAAUUAAUCAAACAUUUCGAAUAUAAUUUAUAAAUUUGAAUUUGAAUUUAAUUUAAAAUCUAAAGUUUUAUUUAUGGAUUCAAAUUAUAAUUUUAAGUUUGAAUUUGAAUAAAUUAAAAUUUAAUUUUGUAUUUUAAAUUAUCUGUUUAAUUUAAAUUUUUAAUUUUUUUUUAAUAUUCAUAUUUCAGAUAAGUUUUAUGUGUUUUCACCUAAUAAAACCACGAUACACGAAAAAAUUAUAAUAUAAUUAUAUUUGCACAAAAAAUCAAUUUUCUUUUCAUUGUACCCACUUUAAUAUUUCAUGGAUUUUGAUUGAAAAAAACUAAUUAAAAGUCUAAUUAAGUACCUUCCUUAAAGAAAAAAUAAAAUCAAAAUCAAAACCCUGUACGGUGCAAUUUCACUAAAAGUAAACAUCAUAUCAUAUGUGUGAUCAUGUUUAUUUUAUCUACACGAAACUUAAACAUUUAUUAUUAUUAAUUAGUGGAGGAUAUUAUUUUUAUUCUUCGAAAAUAGUCAACUAUGUUUAUCUAAUUUAAAGACCCACUUUGAUGAGUCUCACAAAUAUUUUUGGAGUACACGACUCUUUAGUGAGGCUCAGAAUUAUUAAUUUCACACACAAAAUCCAUUGACAAUAUUAUAUAUUUGGUUUUAGUUUUUUAAUUAAUUCUCUUUUGACAACUUAUUGCGUAAACACAAAAAAAAUAUAUUAAAUGUUCGUUGGCCUCUCGUUCAGUUUGAUUGAUGGAUCAGGCAAAUUCUAGACGGAUUAAUUUUUAUUUUUUAUUUUAUAUCUCUACUUACUGUUCGAUUCAGGAAUGAUCGGAACGAGAGCGAGUUUUCGACCGAUUUUGGACAUAUCCGAAUGGAUCAAAAAAAAAAAAAGGUGCUAUUUGUUGCGAGACUCGAAUUUAGAAUCUCUUAUUUUUUAAAAAAUUUUUAAAAAUUUUUUCGCAGUUUGGUUAAUUUGAAGAAAAAUAAGUAUUUUUGAAAAAAGUUUCCCAUGUUUCAUUGAAAACUGGUGUUUUCGAAAAUACUAAUUUUCAUAAAAUAUGAGAAAAAAAUUCAUAAAAAUUUGUUUUCCUUAUAACCAAAUGGACAAAAAAUAAAAAAAAAAAUUUUUUUAAAAAAAACCUUUUUUGGGGAAAUUUUUUUUUCCACACUUUUUUAAAGAGCCAAACAGCCCCCUCCCUAAGUAUUGAAUUUUAUUUGGCUCAAUAUAUCGCACCAAUAAUUACUCGAUAUAUUAUGUCCCUACAAUAUUUUUUAUUUUAUAAUUAUGAUAUAUUUAUAAAUUCAAUAAGCUAGUACAGUUUGUAGAAACACUCCAUCAAAUCUCGUUUUAGCGCCGUGGGCGGUGGCGUUUUGGAUUGCGGUGGUCAAAGAAAAAGAAAAGCACACAAUAUUUUUUCGCCUAAGUUUGAUAAGUUGUUUCAUUGACUUUAUAUAUGAUCUCUCUCUCUCUCUCUCUCUCUCUCUCUUUCUUUGUGGGAUAAUUAAACAUGUGGUGGAUUAAAAAGUCCAUGGCAUAUUUUUUUAGGUGAGAAAAGAAACCAAACCACUUUGACAAAAUAGUGUUCCGUGGGAACAAACUGAUUUUGACCCAUUCUAUUUGAACAUGCACUAAAAAUAGAUAGGUAAACUCCUACACCCUGUUUGGUUCGGGGAUAAGGUUCUGUUUGUUUCGAGGGAAAUGGGGUGAAAGUGGAAUGAAAAAAGUGAUUUUCGGUGAAACUGACCACUUCCGCUGUUUGGUUCACUGUAAUUUUAUUACGUCCGAAAGUCCAGUUCACCUAAAAUAAUGAACUUGACUUCGCCCUCCCAUGGGGCGAAGUCAAUUCCGGUGAAGUGAAAAAAAAGCAAGAAUGGAUUAAUGUGUUAGGGUUACCUCUUAUAAAAUAUGAUCAAAUUUGAUUAGGUGAGCUUUAAUAUAUUUUUUUGUUUAAUUUGUAUAUUUAGAAAAUGAUGAAAAAUAAAUUUGUUAAAUGUUAAUAAUUUUUUAACUUUAGAAUUUUAUUUGUUGCAUUAUUAUAAUUUAUAUGCAAACAAAUAAUAUAAUUUUUUAAAAUUUUAUUUUAUAAUUAUACAUAUAUAUAAUUAUAUGCAUAUAUAAUUAUAUUAAUUUUUAUUUAUUAUAAUUUAUUAUUCACUAUAAGUUACAAAAUAGACAAUGAUAUCACUUUGGAGGUAAGUAUACCGGGGGUGGAGGGCUACACUUUUUACGUCAUUUACUUUCUACCAAACAAAUAACAGAACUCGCAGAACUGCACUUCCACAGUUAGAAACAAACAGCAGAAGUGAACUAAUUUUCACCCCAACUCCACUUCAACUCAAAGUUCACUUCCACCCCAAGUCUACUUACGUUGAAACAAACAUGUCCUAAAAGGUGGAAUAACUCCUUAUUUCCUUCUUUAUAUUCAAAUGUUAUUUUUCAUACUCUAAAAAAUAAUAAUUUUGGGUAUCUGGAAUAUGCUGGUAUAACCUGAUAUAAAUUUGGAAUUGCAUAUUUGGGGUUCAAACCAUAUCACAUCACGCGUGAUAUUUUGAUCCUCGAACUGAUGAACUAUAAGUUUUAGUAAUUUUUAGUUUGAAUUCUUCAUAUUGUUUUUUUUUUUGACGAACUGUAAGUUAUAUCAGUUUUUUGUUCGAAUUCUUCAUAUUGUUUUUUUUUAACGAGAAAGAUAGCAUGCUAACUGCUUCGUUUAUUUCUUUUAGAAAUAAACUGUAAAUGUGAAGCAAUUAUAUUUCGAAUUUAGGAUCUUGGUUAUUAACCACCAAAUUUUUUUUUGUCACUUGUGCUGGGGACGAUCGGUAAAUUUUUCAUAUUGUUAUAAAUAAUAAUGUAUUGCUAAUGCAACAGGAAUGUCGCAUUUUAAUUACUCCUUCGUCAUUAAUUAUAAUACUGUUAUAUUACUGUCACAUUAUAAAACUUAAUUAUAAUAAUUUAAAAAUUAAUUAAAAUUGAAGAAUUAAAGUAUCACGCGUCUUAUAGUGCAAUUUUGCCAAAUGGAAGGUAUUUAAUGUGAGGAGCUUUUUUUGUUUGACUACGUAACUUAUUGUUUGACUACAUGGGCCGCUUUUUUUAAGUGCUUGUUCACAUCACCAUGUCUUUGAGCAUUGCUAACUUUGACUUCUUAUUUAAUUCAAUGUCCUAGCACCUGAAAAAAAGUUUUUUUAAAAAAAAAGAAAAAAUAAUUCAUAUAAAUAUAUGUGACACAUUGUUUUAUGCCAAUCUCAUUAAAUUAGAUCAAGGUAACUAUCAAUGGAUACCGAUGAUUUUUUCUUUUCUUUAAAAAAAAAAAAAAAUCAUCAUAUAAGGAAUACAAAUAGAACGAAUCAGGUAGCGGAAGAGGCCUCCCACCUCCGAUCUUCCUUAUUUUGGGCGGACCGGAGUGGAUUCUACACAGAUCGAUAUUUAUCAUAUUUUUUAUCUUUAGUCACCGCUUCAUUCAAGACCGGUGAGAAUGUAAGCAGAUUUUUUUUUGUGCAUUUUUUAUAGAUAGAAAUAGAUUAAAGAAAAGGAUCUUCCAUGUCCUACUGUAUUUUUUAGCAGAUAGAGGCAGAUUCAGAAUAGAUUACUUUUUUUUUUUAUUUUUGGCUUUCACUUACCACUCCAUUCAGAAUGAAUCUGGGCAGGAUCUCCACCAACCAGAAUCCAUACUCCUCAUAGAUCCAAAUUAUACCAUACAUAGCUCACCUCCUCUCUCUCUCUCUCUCUCUCUCUCUCUCUCUUCCUUCCCUAACUAGCUUAUAAUAUGAUAUAAUUAAUAAUUUAUAUGACUAAAAAAAUUAUAUGAUUUUCGAUGAUAGAUUAUCUGAAUUAAGAGUUUAUACGUUCUGUACAAAACUAGCUAGCUUAUAGAAGAACACAGUUAAUAUCACUAAGAAAAUCGCAUUAUGAACUUGUUUCAACUGUAAAAUAUCUGAAUUAACAAUUCAUACACGUACCCUACCGACCGUCCUUAGAGCAAGUAGCAAAAGGCUUGGUGGUUGGUACCCGAGACCCAAGUUCGAAUCCUAGUUGAUUCACAUUUCUAGCUAAGUUUAUUUUUAAAUGAAAUAAACGAAACGAAUAGCGUGCUACCUAUCUCUCAAAAAAAAAAAAAAAAAAAAAAAAAUUCAUACACCCUGUGUUAGUGAUGACCUGAAUCUCGAACAAUCGAAUUUGAUCGGACUGGUCAGAGUUUCUUUUGGAGCUUUAGGUAACCCAUUUAAAUAAUUAAGAUUAGGUCGGAUUAUAUUAAAUCCUAAUCAUGGUAAAAUGAAGGUAAAAGAUGAAGAGAUUUGUGAAAAAUUAGAUGACACGUUGCGCGCGAUCCUACUAAUCACUUUGUUAGUCAUAAUCACUUGAGCAAAUAUUUUAUUGAGAAUUUAAUUAUAUAGAUUCUCAUAUGGUACAAUUAUAAGGUAAAAUAUUUUCUUUCAUUAGGCUAUUUUGAAGUACAAAGCUUUAAAAUAAAGUACUAGUUUUUCUCUUUUUUUUUUUUAAAUAUUGAGUAUAAUUUUUAUAUAUUUUUAUUUGAGUUACUUUUCUAAACUAAAUCAUAUAUAGUGGUUUAAUUAGCUAUCAGCUAUUAACAAUUGAUUAAAUUCUCCAAAUUUAUUAGAUAAAAAAAUUCUAGCCAAAUUAAUAGUUAGUGACUAAUGAUUUUUAUAUAAACAUAGCGCAAUCGUUUACUAAUGCAUAAAUUUAUUGAAUCCGGUCACUGUUCUUGACUAAUUAUCACCAAAUUCAACAAAGAUGAAAUGUUACCGAUAACGAACUGCUCUGAGCGCAAUUGGUUAGGGCGAAAAAAGUUAUUAUCAGAUCCACCUGAUAAAAAAAUCAGUAAACAUAUUCAGAUUUGCGACUUCUUAUACAAGUUUCUCCUAUCUACAUUCUCACAAUGUAAUAGUAGGUGUUUUUUUUUUUUUUUUUUUCCUUAUUAUUAUUUUCAGAGGGUAAAGGUGCAAAAUGGAGGAAUCUAAUGGUGAGGUUGCAAAAAGGGCAAAUUUGUGCCACGUAUCGCAAAUCUGGACCUGUUCGAUUGAUUUUUUCUAUGAGACCGAACUGGUAGCAAUUUUCAUCAAUUGCUUAGCAUUGCCGUAUAAAAUGAUUUCAGUUCUUUAAAAUACUGUCUUGUCGACAGCUCAUAUCACACUUUAAAGUACGUGUAUAAAUCAAUCAAAAGCUUACAGUGCCAGUACUUUGAAGAAGUCGUAUCAUAUUCCCCAAAACAAUUACACAAACACACACAAACACACAUUAAUUACACUGUAUUAUAUUAUACUUUGACAUUUCUUUUUGUUUCUAUAUUGUGCUAUUUAUUACUUCAAAGACACCAUUUUUUUAAAAAAAAAUUUCUACACUAUAACUAAUAAAUUUAUAAUUUUUUAUAAAAGCGGUUAAAAAAUACUGAUUAAAACUAAUAGAGCAUUCAUUCAAUUUAUUUUGCCAAAAAAAAUAAAAAGUACAUAAAAAAUAAAGAAUAAUUAAGAACAACUUGAUAGAAAUUUUUAAUGAGCAUAAUAUAGAGAUUUAUUUCAUAUUUUGUUCGCUAUUUAAUCAAUAUUUCAUAAUAUAAUUACUAGAUUUUAUCUAAAAUAAUGUAUUUGAUAACAGUAAUCUAGAGAUUGACGAGAAAAAAAAAAAAACUUUAAGGAUAUCAAUGAGAAAAUAGUAUAAGAUAAAAAAAUAAAAAUAAAUUUAAAAUAUAGUAUAAAAAUUGAUAAAACACGAUAAUAUAAUGGAGUCUCGGCGAUAUAUAUACAGACACACACAAUAUAAUAGAGUGUAAUUAAGCUGUAUAUAUAUAGGGGCUUUUGCUAUAGAGUGAGGCUGGUAUGUUUAUAGAAGCACGAAGUUAUCUAUGCUUUCUAGUCGUUUUGAAUGUUGGGACUUUUGAAUCAACAAUUGAUUCUGUUAGAUUUAAAUUAGAGUAUUUGAAAUAUAUAGAAAAUAAAAUUAUGCUAUUUUGGUCCCAUUUAUCUAGUAAAUAAAGCAAUAUUUUAAAUAACUAUAGUAAUAAUCCAAAAAGUAGACUCUCUCUCUCUCUCUCUCUCUCUCUCUCUCUCUCUCUCAAUAAAACCCCCUCUCACUCCCCCUUUCUCUUUCCCCUGUUCUUAUCAUCUCCCCAUCCCCCUCCUCUCUCUCUCUCUCUCUCGAUCUCUCUCUCUCUGUCUCUCUCUAGAGAUUUCUCUCUCUCUCUCUCUCUAGGAUCGACGGUCGAGAUCGGCGCGUGCCCGCGCGCGCGUACAUGUGAUCUUCGGCGCACGAAUCUCGAAGGUGGAUCGGAGGCAUGGGAAGAGGCCCCUUCUUCUCCCUCCGGAGCCCAUGUCCGGCGCCGCGGCGGAGGCGGCGGCGGCGGCGGAGGAGGAGGAGAUAAUAGCCCAGGGUGGAGUCGGAGGAGGAGGAGCCGAGGGCGCCGAGGGGGACUCGCACGUGCUGUCCCGCUUCUCCGCACGUGCCGACCACGACGCCUCCGCCAUGGUCUCCGCCCUCGCCCACGUCAUCGGCUCCCCCGGCCCGGUCCACCCCGACCCCUCCCCCCCCGGACCGGCCGGUUCGCCCCAUCCCCCCCACCUCGACCAAGGUAUUAUAUAUAUAUAUCUAUAUAUAUUUAUAUAUACAUCUAGAGAGAGAGAGAGUAGAGAGAGAGAGAGAGAGGGGUAUGUAUACAAGGCACUAGCACCUUCUAGCUAGUUACACCAAAUAGAUAUUUAUUAAACUUAACUAAUUAACUUAAUUACUUAAUUAACUAACUCAAAUUAAGUGGUUGGUUAAUCGAUGAGCUAAAUAUUUGGGUGGGUUAAUCGAUGAGCUAAAUAUUUGAUUCAAUCCUAAUUUUUUGAUUGGUGGAAGGGGCUUGUUUUUUAAUUUUGGAAAAGUAAUGGAUGAAGCUAACCUGAGCUUCUUGAAGUUUCUGAUUUUUUUUUUUUUUUUUUUUUUUUAAACCAAUGAGGCGUCGAGAGUUUUUCUUUAAAAAAUAUUCGUAAAAAUUUAUAAUAAUUCCUCAAUUUUUUGCUGCAGCGAGAGAGAAACUGGCGUUGGAGGAUGAUUUUAAACCGACCAAUGAGGCUUGAGCUUACAAAAAAUAUGUGAAUUUAGUGUUAGAGGCCUAAGAAGACAAAAAUGUGUAACAAGUUAAUUUGCCUAGCUAUGAUAACAUCUCGACUACACCACCACAAUUUAUGUCUCUUUUAUAUAUUUACAUUAAUAGAACAAAGAAGAAGGAUCUUAAUAAAAUAUAUAUGUAAAUCUAAUAUUUUAGAACAAAAAGGAGUAAAAUUUCAUGUCAAUUGUAGUUAGCUUGAACUAAGAACAACAUUGUGAGUUUCAAAUGGUGUAGGCAACAAAUAUUGCACUACUGCAUCAAACACUAAUGCUAACGUAGAAAUGAUGUGUCUUUAGCGUAUAUUUAUUUUUAUAUAUAUAUAUUUGUAUUGUAUGGAUUGAAAGUAUAUGUGAUCAUUUUAUGAACAAAGGUGAUGUGAGGAGAAGGCACUAUAGAGGAGUGAGGCAAAGGCCGUGGGGGAAAUGGGCGGCGGAGAUCCGCGACCCGAAGAAGGCGGCGCGGGUGUGGCUCGGGACCUUCGACACGGCGGAGGAGGCGGCGAUCGCGUACGACGAAGCCGCCCUCCGGUUCAAAGGGACCAAGGCCAAGCUCAAUUUCCCCGAGCGGGUCCAGGGCCGGACCGGGCUCGGGUUCUUGGUCACCCCGGGCCUCCCGGGCCGCCCCGUCGGGCCCGUGUCCGCCGCCGCGGCCUCCUCCUACCCUGACCUAAUCCAAUAUGCUCAGCUCCUGCAAAGUGGUGAUGAGGACAUAGGCAAUGUGGCUUCACAUUUAUACACCAGUGGAAGCAGCAGCAGCAGCAGCAGCAGCAGCACUGCUGCUCCUUUCUCCGGGCCGACUUCACAAAUGUCGACGAUGUCGAUAUCAGGGCCGUCGCAGCAGAUAUUGGACUUCUCCUCGCAGCAGCUGCGGAGCGCGACCUCGUUCUCUUCUUCUACUACCUCUUCCUCCUCUUCUUCUUCGAGCUCGCGCGCUCGCGGGGAUCAGAGGGGCAAAGAUACUAGCUACAACCCAUGAGAGCUGUGUUUGGGGGAGGGGGAGGGGGGCGUUUGGGGGGGGGGUAGGGUGAUUGUUGCUUUGACGGUGUCAAUUCAGCGAGGGAAAAGCAUAGAGUUGCAUAUAUAUCUAUAUCUAUAUCUAUAUAUAUAAUUGUUUUGUUUGUUCCUGAUAUGAUUAUUUCUGAAUUGUUUCCUAUAUGAUCGGUCUUCUGUGUUAGAUAUAUCGUACGUAUAUCAAAGUCAGUUUUGAGCCCUCUCAGUUCUAAGAGGUCUGUACAUUGCUUCUCCUAUCAGUGCAUGUGUGAGCAAAACUAUUAAGGACUAGAGCUAUUGUUCUAUUAGAUCGAUCUUCUGGAUAACAUGUAAAACUUCGGAUAUGCUAAGUUUAUGACUUGACCCCUUUUUUUCGUUUUUGAGAAGUUGUGAAGUGCCAUGCAAAUGUGAUGACAAGGAUAAGGGAGACUAGGGAAUGAUGUUGUUUCUUAGUCAAUUUGUUGAUUUGAUGUAUGUAUUUGUGCAUGUUCAUGGUGCUUAAUUAAUGAAUUAAUCAAAAGUUGGUGUUUUUUUGGUCGUUAUUCUUCCACUCAUUCUUCACUAUAUAUAUAUAUAUAUAUAUAUAUAUAUAUAUAAAAUAAAUAAAUAAAUAAAUAUAUAUAUUUUAUUGGCUUAAUUAUUGUAACUUAACCAUUUUACAAAAUUUGCAUGCAUGCAAGAGUGGGAAUAUUUAUAUUCUUGAUGUAUAUAUGCCAGAUUCUUCCGUACACCACAAAUAUAUAUAUAAUAAUAGCCGUUGGAUGGUAAUCAGUAGAACUCUGAGAUAUGAUGAUCUCAGUUGGUGGAAAUGGACGGUGGUGAUUUUUCUGUUGUACAAAAGAAUAAAUACUAUAUGUAUAGAGUUAGGCUUUUACGCUUUUAAAAAUACUAAAGUCUUCGUCCAUUUAAAUUGUUUUCGAUUAUGGGGCAUCUGAUUCAACGAUCGGUUCCAUUGAACAUGAUCUACAGUAUUAAAACUAUUUAGAAAUCAAAUUUUAUAAUUUUUUGGCUUCGUUUGCCUAAUGAACAAGUAGUCUCAAAACGAACGGUUCAAAAUAAAAAUCACAAAAAAAAUAAUGAUAAAAAAUUUAAAUUUCAAAUCAAAAGCAUUGGUCUUAUUCUUAAUGAAAAAAAGAAUUUUCUAUUAAGAGUUUAUCAAAUUUGAAUUGUUUUAUAUCGUUGAACUUACAAACGUGACAUAUCGGCUGUCAAAAUAAAUAAAUAAUAUAAAAAAAUUAUGAAAUUUUGUUUCUAAAUAGUUUUAAUAGCGUAAACUCUAUCUAACGAAGCCGAUCAUUUAGUCGAAUGCCUCAUCAUCGAAAGUACAGGAGAUGGGUACGUACAUCAAAUACAUGCAUGUGAUUUAUAUCUCACAAUAUAGCGAAUGCGUGCAAGUGAUUUGCGAAUGGUGAACAUAUAGAGAGGAUAAAAAUAGAGAAUAAUUUGACCUUUAAUUUUACUUUUAGGGUGCAUUUAGUUCGAGUUAUCCUGACAGGAUUACAAACAAUCCUACCAGAAUUACUGUGUUUGGUUCAUCCGCUAUGUAAUUUAGUCGUUAAUGUAACAUUACAAAUCGAGCAGGAUUACACCAAAAAUAUUAACGAGAGGGGAGUCGUGUAUCUUGCAUUACUGAAAACCGGUAAUACUACAUAUUAUGUAAAUGACAAUUUUACUCCUCUAACUCCCGAAACCCUUUCAAUAUGUCAUUUUAAAAAAAAUUAAUUUAAAAUUUUCAAUUGUCAACUUUAAAAUUUAAAAUUUUGAAUUGUCAACUUUAAAAUUUAAAAUUUAAAAUUUAAAUUUUAGAUUUUAAAUUUUAAAUUUAAAAUUUAAAAUUUAAAAUUUAAAAUUUUAAAAUUCAAAUUUGUAUUUUAAUUUCUGAAUUUUAAAUUUAGAUUUUUAAUUUUAUAUUUAUAUUUAUAUUUAUAUUUAUAUUUAUAUUUAUAUUUUGGAUUUUAAAUUUAUAAAUUUCGUAUUUAUAUUUUAAAUUAAAAUAUUAAAUUUAUAUUUUUGUUCAAAUUUAAAAUUUAAAAAAUUAAAUUAUUUAAAAUAAAAUUUAGUAAAAAAAUAUUAUUUGUAAACAGUAAAAAAAUAAGUUUAUAAAAUAUGGUUAAGGAAAAUUUUGGAAUAGACUAUAUUUUAUUCUCUAAAUUAUUGAAUUUUAUAGAUAGAACCAAACAUAUUAAUGCUAUAACCACUGCAAUUCAGCAGUUCAUUACUAUAUUAAACCAAACGCGCUAAUGCAGUAUAAGUAGUAAUCUUUUUUAGAAAUCUAAGAUACCUAGAUAUAUCGAAAUACUCUGUAAUAUUAUAUAACUUGAACCAAAUGCACCCUUAUUAAGGGCAUGUUUUUUUCGUGCUAUGUAAUAUUUCUAGUUAUUUGAAUAUAACUAGAAAUUUGAUUCCUAUAAAUUAGAUUAGUACUAAUAUUGUAUAACUCCGUUUGGUUUAGUACAAUAAUAUAAUGUGGGAAUGCUCGACUAGGCAAAUAAGAGAGGAGAAGGGAAUAGAGGGAGAAAGAGGGUGAGUGAGAGAGAUAGAGAGAGAGAGAAAUUAGAGUAUCUUAAAACCCUAGAAUGAGCUAAAGAGAAGGAUGGAACUCUUUUAUGAAUAAAAUGAAGAGAUGAGAAGAGAUUUGAGGGGGAGUGAGAGGGAUAACUUUGUAAUUUUCAUAAUUGAGGCUUAGGAUAAUCUGCAACCAGUAAUGCAAGAUACCCACCUCUUCUCAUGUAAUAUUAUUAGAGUAAUUUUGUACUUUCAGUUUUCCUACAUUACUUACUAGAUUACAUACGUAAUAAAACUAACACAAUAAUUUUGAAAGAUUUUUUUUAAUGUUCCCCAGUAGUCCUGGCAAGAUAGCGUGAACUAAAAGUAAGUUACUUUAUUAGAUUAUAUGUGAAUAUUGUUACGUCUCCAAUCCAAAAGGGAUUGUAAUCUUACAAUACUCUCAUUCAAUAGAAUGCUUCAAGAAGGAAACAAGGUUGCUUACUUCCAUAAUGUAUUUGGCAAUAAGAUAUCUGAAUCUAUGACACUUUAAACAUAAUUUAGGGUCCUUGAACUUUUUAAAUUUCAAAUUUUACAAUUCUUUCGAUUCCAUUUGCUUUGUCUUCAAGUGGUUGAAAAAUUGACAAUUUUUAAUAGUUAAUAUAAGAUGAAUUUGACACCGCUUGAACACUAGGCAAACGGUAUUAUAAAAUCGUGAAAUCUGAUGUUAACAAAGUUCAAAUAACUCAGAUCCUAUUUAACAGAGUCAAUCCUCAAUUCAAUGUCCUAUCUCCAUAAAUAACCAAAAAAUAAAUAACUUUAUCUACUUCUAGAAAUACUCUUAGCUUUACUCUCUCUCUCUAUAUGUAUAUAUAUAUAUAUAUAUAUAUAUACGUAUAUAUAUAUAUAUANUAGAGAGAGAGAGAGAUUAUGUGUGUAGUGCUUAAUUAAUUGUCUCAUUCAUGCACUUAAAAUAGAGAGAGAGAGAGAUUAUGUGUGUAGUGCUUAAUUAAUUGUCUCAUUCAUGCACUUAAAAUAGGUAGGUACAAAGUAAGGAUGGGUAAGAGCUUUAAAUUCGGCGCUUUGUCUGGUUGGUUGAACUCCACUUGCACUGCUUCAUGUAUCAGUCUUUUUUAAGAGAAUAUAUGUGAUUCAUUGGACAUGAAGCAAAAGGACAAACACACACACACACAUAUUUAUAUUAUAUAUAUAGAGAGAGAGAGAGUCGGGCUAGCUACUAUACUCUUAAUAUAGAUCCUUUUAUGCUCAUAAAUUUUCGACCGUUAGAUUCUUUUAUAUUCAUAAGAGUAUAGUACGUAGUUCUGGUAUAUAUAUAUAUGAGUUCGGCUAUCGAUAGUAUCAAGUUUUUGAUACUAUCGAGUUUUCUACCGUUCAGAUCUAUCCUUUAAUUAUUUUCACUCAUUUAAUUAUACUAUUCAAAUCAACCACCCACCCAACCUUAGAAAACUACUAUUAUUAUAACCACACUUUCUUUUAUCUAACAGUUAAAAACUCGAUAGUACCAAACGCUUGGUACUACCGAUAGUAUAGUAGGAUAUUUUACUAUUUUACUGAUACACUAAUCAAAAGGACAUCACCAAUUGAAUGGCUACUAAAUUUCACAUGAAAGUAGUUUAAUUCAUAGGUGGAAUAAUGAAAAGAACUAACAGGAAACUGCCACAUAUAUUUUGAGUUUAUUUUCCAAAAAAAUUAAGCUGGUAGAUAAAAAAAAUUCUUAUUACGUAACGGUCACGAUUCUUGACUACUAAUUAAUGUGGGUGUGCUUUGUACUGUUUUAGUGCUUAAUUUUUAAUCAAGCCCUACUAUUAUUGUCCUUAUCUGCAUUGAUCUAAAGAGCUUCUGGAACAAGCUAGUGCGCCGAAGAACAUAUAUAGAAAUGGUUCUUUUCGCAUUUAGAACUUAUCAAUAUGGGAUGGUUUAUCUCUCUCUCUCUCUCUCUUCUAACUAUUUGAUCACAAGUGAAUAGAAUAUUAUAUAUAUAUAGACACACAAAUACAAUGUAACUAGGACAGCAUAUUCUAAGAUGUUGUUAGCACUUAGUACCACUUCUAGUGUAAAGCCGACCACAGUAUAAUUUUAAAGUAUACUUUAAACAUAGAAAAAAAAAAAAGAGAAUUAAGAAGAGAGAGGAAGUGUAAGAAUCUCUCUCUCUCUCUCUCUCUCUCUCUAUAUAUAUAGAUAUAUAGUGCCUAUGUACUAUACUUUCGAAAGUACAGAGAAGUUGAUGGUUUAGAUAUUUUGGCCAUUAAAUUAAGAAUUAUAAAGUUAGGAUGAUAGCAGUUCUUUUUUAGGAUAUAGUGGUUCCCGUAGAGUUUAGUAAUCCCCUAGAGGAAUAGUAUUAAUUCAAGGGAUAAAAAUAAUCAAAGAGUUUGAUUUAAGGGUUAAAAAAUUAGAAGCACCAUAAUCGGACUCUCUCUCUCUCUCUCUCUCUCUCUCUCUCUCUCUCUCUCUCUCUCUAUAUAUAUAUAUAUAUAUAUAUAUAUAAUUAGGCUACAAUACUAUUGAUAGCUCUAAGUAAUUAGUGUUAUUAGAUUUUCAGCACUUGGAUGAAAGGAUAUGCAAUUAGCAUAAUAAUGAUUCUCUAGGGUUGAGUGGGUGAUUUGUUGAAUAGUAUGAUAUAAUAGGUGAAAAUUGUCAAAUGAGUAAAUCUAACGGCAGAAAACUCGAUAGCACCAAGCGUAAUACUAUCGAUAUUAUAGCAUCCAGACGUAGAUUUGGCGGUGUUGGCUUAAAGGGGCAGCAUUCUGCCCUACGGCGGAAAGCCAAAUUGGGUUAGAGUCACGUUCGAAAGGUUAGAAAGCCGGAUCCGAAUGAGUCAUGUUCGAAAUGUCGUGAGGUUGGUUGAGCUAAGUUACAUCGAGACCCGUAGGCACUAUCUAUACGUUUUAAGUAAAUCGGUCGCAUAUUUCUAACAGCUCGAGCUUUAAAGAUUAAUAGUUUGCACUAAUGACACGAAAAGUGGUAUCAGAAUCAGAGGUCACGAUUUCGAUUUCCUCAUAUUGAGAGUUUAUUAAGUGCUGGAGGAAGGAUUAUUGGCCUGAAAAGGCCUACAUCCUGCCCUGUAACGUGAGGCAGCUGGUUGGGCCGAGUCACAUCGAGACCCAUGGGCGCUGCGUCUACACACUUUAAAUAAAUUGAUUGUUUAUUCCUAACAACUCAAUGCUGGAGGAAAAAUUGCUGGCAUAAAAAAGCCAGCAUCCUGCCCUGUGGAGUACUGAAGCUAAUUGGGUCAAGUCACAUCGACACCCGUGGGUGUUAUAUUUGUAUGUUUUAAGUAGACGAUCCGGGCUGAGACAAAGGUCACGGGAUCGAUUCCGCAUGCUAAAAUUUAUGCAUGCAGGUGCUGGAAGGAGGAUAGUUGGCUUAAAAGGGCCAACAUCCUGCCUUAUCGAGACAUGUGGGUGCUGUGUUUGUAUGCUUCCGACAGCGGCCGCCGUUUCCAACUUUUCGAUGGUUAUGUAUAUCUUUCCACUGUUAGGAUAAUUCGGCGCCGUAUUCAGCUUCGCUGAUCAUUGUCUUGUUAGAAGUCGGCGUCGUUUUCAGGACUUCGAUAUCUAUGAAUCAUGCUGUCUCUCUCUAUAUCUAUACUCGUUUAUUCUCCAACUUAAUUUGGCUUUUCUUUACACUUUUUUAUCUUCUGAUUUCGGCGCCGAGACUGACGCAGUUGCCGGCUUUCUCUCUCAAAGAAUCUAGAAGAUGAGAAUUUUUGCGUGCCCCCGAAGCUGCACCAUACACCGCACUCGUAACAUAUAUACCUCUCACUACUAUUCAAAAUUUGUAAAUUUACCGCUCUAUUUACAAAAAAUACUCUUUCAAACUCCGAAUCUCGUUAGUAAACUCUAGAGUUAGGGUUGUACUCGAUGUUUUUGAAGUUUUAAAAGAUAUAAUUAGAUAUUAUCCAAAAAUCUAAUAUAUAGGCCUUAAAAUCAGAAGCGUUAAUUCAUGCAUCAAACGAGUACAAAAUAAAUACUAUAUAGUUUUUGUUUCAAUCCAAGUUCCAUUGUUUAAAAUGCUCUUACCUUUAGUGGAAAUUGUCAUAUACAUUAGUACUUACCACAAUAUUUGCCACGAAAAUGGUAACAAGCUAAUUUCAUCUUCAUUUCUGAGAAAUAAAAACCUAACUGGAAAUAUAAAACAACAGAGUAUCGUAUUUGGUAUCUUAGAUAUCAAUCAUCGAAUCUUUAGUCAAGGGUGCUAUGUACGGUCGGUGAUCGUUAAAACUAUAUAGUAAUUAUUUUGUUCUCGUCUUUUGUAUAAUAAUAUAUAUCGUAUCAGAAUUUAAUUUUAAGAUAUUAAUAACAAAACACUAAAAAAGUGCAUGUAACUAGAGAUGCAGAUGGAUUUGGAUUGAUGGAGCUCCCACAUCGAUUGGCCCUGAAUGGAACAGUAAGUGAAAACCACAACAACAAAAAAAGAUAAUCUGUCCUGAAUUCGCCAAGAUAUGCGAGAAAAAUUGAGCCGAAAGUGGGGGAGACCCCAUCUUUCGCUUUAAACAGCAGCAAAUAACUUAUUUUGAAGGCUAAAUUACAGAAACCCUCUAUAAAUAUUCGUUUUUUUAAUUUUUUUUUUCUAUGACUUUUAAAAAUCUAUAUUUUAUUCUCUUUAAACUUUAGAAAUGUUUUCAGAGGAAUACGGCAUAAAUGGAGAGAGAACAAAAAUGACCAAAUUACCCUUAUUUCUUAUAUAAGAAAAUGUCAUUUUUUAUUAAAUUUCUGUCAUUUUGAAGAGUAUUUUUGAUGUAAAUUAUAAAAAAUGAACGGAAUAGUGAUGAAACCCUGACGGAAAGUGAUUAAAUUCAACAACUUGAAAUAUUGAGAGGAUAAAUAUAGAUUUUUAAAAGUUAGAAAAGAAAAGUAAAAAAACGAGUAUUUAUAACAAAAUUUUCUAUAAUUUAGUUCAAAAAAUAAGAUAAAAACCAAUCAAUCCCAAAUCUACCCUGACCAAUCCAAAAAAAGGGUAUAUACACUGGGUGCAAGCAAUAAUUUUUAUUCUAUAAGAAUUUCAAAAAAAAAAAAAAAAAAAAAACCAAUCCACUUAUUUAUUUAUAUUAUUAUUAUUGUCCCCUCGAUCGUACAAAGCACGUACACGUGUCACCCAAAUCGCUUUCCUCUUUUAUUAUAUUUAUUCCCACAACUCAAAAAGUAGUGUUGCACCUGUUUAGUACGUCUCCAUCACCCUUAUCCUUAUCCAUCAUCCCUUGCGAUCUCGCCACGUGGAUUAUUCUUCGCCGUGCGAUCACAGCCUCCCUAUUUUAGGUCGGCUCCCACGAUCCCCGUGUCCCACGUGGCGUCGCGCUGGUGGGGCCCACCGCGCACCCUGACGUAAUGCCCGUCCCACGUGUACGGCUCCCGGAGCAUGCACGCUCUUUUACGCGACACGUAGCCGAUCACGUACUAAUUAUUGCAUAAUAAUUAAACACCAAACUAAAUUACUAACACACACUAAAAAUUGAAUUUUAAAUUUAUCAAAAUUUUAAAUUUUUUAAAUAGAGGUUUGAAAAAAAGCUGAGUUUGGUGUAAAUGCAUUUUUAUAUUUCUAUAAUUUAAAAAGUUAUGUUUUUUAUAUUUAUUAUACCGAAAAGGGUUAUCAUCAGCAGCUCCGCUAUCUUAGUCACGUCGGGAAUCAAAUCACAUGCGUUGCUGCGAAUAUAUAACAACAAAGGCUCAGCUUCUGGAGAUGCCGAUUGAUUGAGUUUGAUUCGAUUUCGGCAAAAUGAAAAAUUAAAAUUAUCAAUCAAAAACUAAAAUCUGAAAUUGAAAUUAUAGCCUUUCAAUUUUCAAAAUUUGAAGUCGUAAUUGUAAUCAUUUAAUUUCAAAAUUUUAAAAUUAUAUAUAAUUAAAAAAUCAAAUUCAAAUUCAAAACCAAAAUCAAAGGCACAACCUCAAAAUCAAAUUAUAUAUAGUAUAUUUAUCAGCAAGUAAAAAUUUGCCGAUAAGUAAAAUUCGGAAUCUUCGAUUAUUAUUAAAUAAAAGAUACAAUAUUUAACUUUGUUAGAAACGUAUAAAACUCAUUGAACUAUCGACCAUUUUAAAUUGAUUAAAAAUUUUGAAUUUACAUACUAUUCAACUUUUAAUUUGUUCGAUUUUAGUCAGCCAGCAAUACUUUAAGCUAAUUACUUAUUUUAAUCAACUUUAAAAGAUUGAAUAGUCAAAUCAAAAUAAUUCAUAGUUCACAUAAGUUAUUUUCAUUUUUACCAUUUAAUAUUUUGAUUUAAAACUAUUAUGCCAAAAUCAAUUAAUUAACUCAAGAAGCUGUGUGUGUAUAUACAUAUAUAUAUAUAAAUAUAUAGAUAGAGUUGAGCUAAAAUACUAUCAGGAGCAAAUAGGCUCUACUGUGAUCCAUUUAUUUUCGAUGAUAGAGACUCCAAAAUCGACGAUCGGCACAGUUGAACAUGAUCUAUACCGUUUGAAGCAUUUAGAAAUCAAUUCUCAAGUCUUUUCGAUAUCAGUGACCUAAUAAUCAAGAGAUUUCAAAUUUUAUAGUUUUAAUGGUCAAUAUGAGACAUUUUUUUAUUUAAUGGUGUAAAGAUAUUCAAACUAAUUGAAUUUGGUUAGAAAAUUUCUUAAACUAUUUAAAACAAGAUCUAUACUUUUGAUCUUAAUUACAAGAUUUCUACCAUUACUUUUCAUAAGUUAUUCAUUUUCAGCUGUACAUUUUUGCAUUUACUUGAUGGAGGAGAACAAUUCAAAAAAAAAAAAAAAAUUUAAUUUCUAGAUGCUUCAAAUGGUAUAGAUUAUGUUCAAAAGUGUCAAUCGUCCAUUUGGAGGUUUCAUCGUCAAAAAACAAAUGGAUCACAAUAAAACUCAUUUGUUACUAAUAAAAGUCUGUUUCGGAUUCGAGUUCAGUUCAGAAAAUUACAUAAACUAUAAUUAUACCAAUAAUUAUUUUUUUGGUUUUAAAUAUUUUUUUCAAUAUCCGAAAACCAUUUCUAUUUAUUAGAUUCGAUAUGGACCGCACCGAUAUAUAUAUAUAUAUAUAUAUAUAUAUAUAUAUAUAAAAUAUGUUGAGUUUGGGUUUUGGAUAAAAAUUCGGGCAUGUGUACCCAAUCAACAUUCGCAAUAGUUUUAGAUCAUGGUAGGGGACUUAUCCUGUCCAGCUGAACUGUCACGAUCACCCUCUCGACAAAGAUAAGGNAUAUAUAUAUAUAUAUAUAUAUAUAUAUAUAUAUAUAUAAAAUUUGUUGAGUUUGGGUUUUGGAUAAAAAUUCGGGUAUCUGUACCCAAUCAACAUUCGCAAUAGUUUUAGAUCAUGGUAGGGGACUUAUCCUGUCCAGCUGAACUGUCACGAUCACCCUCUCGACAAAGAUAAGGUGGCAGAUACAAGCCUGCACGAUUUUAAAAGCAUGGAAAAUAUUGCAAUAAUAAAGGUGCCAAAAAUAAAAAAGAAAAAAAAAAGGAAAAAAAGUUAAACUUAAAAUUAAGGCUUAAUUACCCUCUACUAUAUUAUAUUUUAGUGUUAUUUUUAUUUACUAAUUGUACUUUUUUUGCCAAAGAUAUUAUUAUUUUAUUGUAUUUUAUCAAUUUUUAUACUAUAUUUUAAAUAUAUUUUUACUAUUCUAUCUUGUAUAUCUUUUCUCAUAGAUAUCAUUAAUUACCCCCCUUUUUUUUUUCGCCGAUCUCUAUAUUACUACUGAAUGAUCCUUUGUUUGAAACAAAAUCUAACAACAACUUUAUUAAAAAACACUGUUAAAUAGUGAAAAGAAAAAUGCAAAACAAAUCUUUAUGGUAGAUUCAUUACAAGUUUCUAUUAAAUUAUUUUUAACUAUUUUUUGUUAUUUUUUUAUGUCAAAAUGAGUUGAAUAUAUUAUGCUAUUUUUAACCAGUAUUUUUUACUAAUUUUUUAUAUAAAAUUACAGGUUUAAUUAUCACUUAUAAUGUAGGAAUUGGAAAGAAAAAAAAAAGAAUAAUUAAGUGGCGUCUUUCAAAAAAAAAUAGUACAGUGUAGAAAGUAAAGAAACCAGUAAGGUACAGUGUGAUAUAGUGUAAUUAAAUCUAAAAUUAAAAGAAAAAAAAACAUUCUUGUGGAAAUGAUUUAUCACAAGUACUAACAAGCUUGCGUAGAGAAGCCAAAAUUUCUCAAUGCAUAUGACUUUAAAAAGACAGUCAAAGAAUCUGGGCCAAAUUAAUCUGCAAGUGUGAUUUGAUCUCGAGACCAUAUUUAUAUCUGACCCAAUAAUAAACGAUAAAGAUGGUUUGACGAUAUGCACCAUUUAUAUAUAUAUAUAUAUAUAGAGUUGAGCUAGAAUACUAUCGGUAGCAAACAGGCUCUAUUGCCACCCAUUUGUUUUCGAUGAUGAAGCCUCCAAAUCAACGAUCGGCACCGUUGAACAUGAUCUAUACCACUUAAAGUAUUUAGAAAUCAAAUUUUAUGUUUUUUCGAUAUUGUUCUCUUGGGCAUCAAGUGGGCGUAAAAAUGAACGGCUGAAAAUGAAUAUCUUCUAAAAAGUGAUGAUAGAAAUUUUGUAAUCAUGAUCAAGAGUAUAGAUCUUGUUCUAAAUAGUUUAAAAAAUUUUCUUACCAAAAUUCAAUUGAUUUAGAUAGCUUUACACCGUUAAACGAGAAAACGCCUCAUAUCUACCAUUAAAAUUACUAAUUUUGAAACCCUUUGAUCAUUAGGUAAAUGAUGUCGAAAAGAUUUGAAAUUUAAUUUCUAAAUACUUCAAGUGAUAUAGAUCAUGUUCAACGGUGCCGAUCGUUGAUUUGGGUGGCAACGGAGCCGGUUUGCUACUGAUAGCAUUCCAGCUCAACUCUCUCUCUCUCUCUCUCUCUCUCCUCUCUCUCUCUUCUCUCUCUCUCUUCUCUCUCUCUCUCUCUCUCUCUCUCUCUCUCAUAUAUAUAUAUAAUAUAUAUAUAUAGACCACAAGUAAACUGCACUCUAUUGCGCGAAUAAAGAGUAGGGGGAUAAUAAGGCGCUUCUCAUUCUAGUAUUUUUUUUUAUUAAAAAAUUUACUAAGAUUCUAUUUGGUUUGCCCGUAAACUAGGUUGAUAUUGUUUUUACUUGAAAAAUGAUUUUUCGUUGUUUGGUUGCUCGUAAAAAAUUUGUUGGAAAUUUUUUUUACAAAUCCUCUGAAAAAAACAAAGUUUUGGUUUUCGCCGGUAGGAUGUAGAAAACGAAAACUUCCUUCUUGAAUCGCGGCUCACAGGGCGCUCAGAAAACGCGGUCCACAGAGAUGCCAAGUUCUCGUGGACCGCGUGAGUGUCCAAUGUGACGCACCCUCUCUCUCUCAUAAUAUUAUAUAUAUAUUAUAUAUAUAUAUAAUAUAUAUAUAUAAAUAUAUAUAUAUAUAUAUAUAUUAUAUAUAUAAUAAAUAGAACUAGGCUAAUAUACCAUAAUAGCCACCAAGCCAUUGGAAUUAAGAGAUGUGCGGUUAGGAUGAUGUGGGGGCGCCCUAGGGUGAUGGGUGGUUGUGAAUAGUAUGAUCCAACGGCGUGAAAAUGAUAAAAGGGUAGAUUUGACGGCGAAAAAUUUGGUAGCAGCAAGUGCUUGUACUAUUAAUAACAUAGUAACCGGACUAUAUAAUAUAUAUAAUAUAUAAGUACUGGAGCUCGGUAGAUAGUGUUGUCCUUCGAUCUUAGGGCGUUCAAAUCAACGAUCCACACCGUUAAAUAUAAUCUAUGGUAUAUGAAGUUAUUAGGAAUAAAAUUUUAGCUUUUUUCGAUGUUGUUUACUUUGUAAAUAAAUUAUGUCAAAAUAGACGGUGGAAAUUGAAUACUAUUUAAAAUUUGAGCAUAGGACUUUUAAAUUCAAGAUCAAGAAUGUUAACCUUAAUCUAUAUAGUUUAAAGUAUUUUUUAUCAAAAUUUAAAGAAAUUUAAAUUCUUCUACACCGUUAAACUCCAAACUCGUCAUAAUAGCCAUUGAAAAUUGAGAAUUUUGAAAUGGUUUGAUAAUAAAGUAAACAAUGUCGAAAAAAUAUAAAAUUUUAUUUCUAAAAACUUUAAAUACCCUAGAUCAAUUUUAACGGUGUUAAUCGUUGAUUUGAACACCCUAAGAUCGAAAACAAGACUAUAGUACCGGAGCCCCGGUACUAUAGAUAGUAUAGGAGACUAGCUCUAUAUAUAUAUAUAGUAGAGUUACUAUACUAUCGGAAACAUAGAGGAUCUAGUACUUCCGAUUUUUUGGCCUUUAGAUCAACUCAUUUAAUCAUUUCUAAUCUUUAGAUUAAUACUAUUACCCUAUGGGGACCACUCAACCCUAGGGAUACUACUCAAUCUUGGGAGGAUCGCAACCAUUCCAACCAUACAAUUCUUAAUUCAAGGAUUAAAAAGUCAGAAGCACCAGACUCUCUAUACUUUCUAUAACAUAGUAGCUCUACACUAUAUAUAUAUAUAUAUAUAUAUAUAUAGAGUGAGGCUACUAUGCUAUCGGAAGCACGGAGCCUUCCGUGCUUCCAGCUCGUUUUCGAUGUUGUGACUUUCGAAUCGUCGAUCGGCUCCGUUAAACUUGAUCUAGAGUAUUUGAAGUACCUAGAAAAUAAAUUUUAUGAUUUUACAAUAUCAUUUGCCUAGUGAACGAAGGAGCUUAAAAUCAACGGCUGAAAAUAAAAAUCUUACAAAAUAUGAUAAUAUGACAUUAAAAUUUUAAAUCAAAGAUAUUGAUCUUGUUUUAUAUAGUAUAAAGAAUUUUCUAUCAAAAUUUCACGUGAUUUGGAUAUUUCUACACCGUUAAACUUGCAAACGGCUCACUACGACCAUUGAAAUUUGUUGAUUUUGAGCUCAUUCGAUCACUAGGCAAAUGAUACCGAAAAAUAAUAAAAUUUAUUUUCUAGGUACUUCAAAUACUCUAGAUCAAGUUUAACGAAACCGAUCAACGAUUCGAAAGUCGCAACAUCAAAAACGAGCUGGAAACACGGAAGGCUCCGUGCUUCCGAUAGCAUAGUAGCCUCACUCUAUAUAUAUAUAUAUAUAUAUA